This 466-nucleotide ribosomal RNA is filed under the name uncultured bacterium. RNAcentral describes it as "partial 16S ribosomal RNA". It matches the Rfam family "Bacterial small subunit ribosomal RNA", at positions 28 to 507 of the family's 1533-position model. The record is from RNAcentral.
GACGAACGCUGGCGGCGUGCUUAACACAUGCAAGUCGAACGGAAAGGCCCUGCUUGCAGGGUACUCGAGUGGCGAACGGGUGGGUAACACGCGGGUGAUCUGCCCUGCACUUCGGGAUAAGCUUGGGUAACUGGGUCUAUUACCGGAUAGGACCGCACUCGAGUGUGUGUGGUGGAAAGUUUUUUCGGUGUAGGAUGAGCUCGCGGCCUAUCAGCUUGUUGGUGGGGUAAUGGCCUACCAAGGCGGCGACGGGUGGCCGGCCGGAGAGGGUGUACGGCCACAUUGGAACUGAGAUACGGGACAGACUCCUACGGGAGGCAGCAGUGGGGAAUAUUGAACAAUGGGCGCAAGCCUGAUGCAGCGACGCCGCGUGCGGGGUGAAGGAUUUCGGGUUGUAAACUCCUUUCGCUAGGGACGAAGCUUUGUUGUGACGGUACCUAGAUAAGAAGCACCGGCUAACUACGUG